ACACAAACCUGGACUGCAUUACGAAUCAGGCCAGGACUUAGAAGUGUACGUCUUUUCACAGCAGGUAGCUGUGACCAGGGAAUCCCCAUGGCGAUGGAGAGAGUUGAGCACACCGGCAGAAAACAAGAGGACACACACACACUGGAUAGGAAGGAAACGGAGCAUGAGAUCCACCCCAUCCCCAUCUCGUCUGUUCCUGCUACGUGCCCCUAUGGGACAAUCGUCCAUCUUAAUACAAUCCACAAGUUAGCAAGAGAGCUGGUGCCAAUUUCGGGAGAAAAAAUGCCUGUGGAUGGCUGAAGUAUCGUUUUGGGGGAACUAAUGCAGUGGUUUUGCACACAUUUCUCUGAUGAACAGCAUUCCCAGGUGACAGCAAGCAGCCAUCUGUGAGCAAAGGCAUGGUCAUGAGAGAGCAUGUGCGAGUGUGUGUGUGUGCGCUUAUGCUGCUUUUUUAUUGGGGGUGCUUGGGGAGUCUCUGGGGAGGAGGCAAUGGUUUUUUUAGUGUUUAUUUUAUUAUCAACAGUUUGUAUUAUUUCCAUCAUUGGUUGGUAUGUUGAGAGGUAUUCCCUUUGUGAUAAGUUUGAAAUAUUGUUCAUGAACUCUGUGAAAGCUGCAUUGUGAUAAUAUGGCCAUAACAUCUACCUGUUCUUGGUUCUGUUCAGGGAGGGCCAGGGUUAUAAAAAGGAAUCCACUGUAGUUUAGGGGGAGGUUGUUAGUCUGCUUGGGCAGUAUUACUGCAGGGUUUUUUCCCCUUGUUGAUUACCGUUUUCCCCCUUGUUGAUUACUAUUUGUUUAAAAAAAGUCAUUUGAUUUAAAUUAUUUAUUUUAAUUUAGACUCUUGAUGUCAAAAGUGUUAAAUGAUGUGAUUCAAUUAAGGUCCUGGAUAAAGUUUGUGUAU
This is a long non-coding RNA of Anguilla rostrata (American eel), 898 nucleotides long. RefSeq lists it as uncharacterized. The transcript is spliced from 4 exons. The record is from RefSeq and is a predicted model, not a curated record. NCBI's taxonomy places the organism in Eukaryota, Metazoa, Chordata, Actinopteri, Anguilliformes, Anguillidae.